This 433-nucleotide ribosomal RNA is filed under the name uncultured bacterium. Its description in RNAcentral is "partial 16S ribosomal RNA". It matches the Rfam family "Bacterial small subunit ribosomal RNA", at positions 29 to 507 of the family's 1533-position model. The record is from RNAcentral.
AACGAACGCUGGCGGCAUGCUUAACACAUGCAAGUCGAACGAGACCGCCGUGCUUAGUGGCGCACGGGGGCUGAACGCGUGGGAACCUGCCCUUAGGUACGGAAUACUUCCCCGAAAGGGGUCCUCAUACCGGUUAGGGUCUUCCGACCAAAGAUUUAUCGCCUUGGGAUGGGCCCGCGUUGGAUUCGCUGGUUGGUAGGGUAAAAGCCUACCAAGGCGACGAUGCAGAGCUGGUCUGAGAGGAUGGCCAGCCACACUGGGACUGCGACCCGGCCCAGACUCCUACGGGAGGGAGCAGUGGGGAAUACUGUACGAUGGGGGCAAGCCUGAUCCAGCCAUGCCGCGUGAGAGAUGAAGGGGUUAGGGAUGUAAAGCUCUUUUAGCCGGGAUGAUAGUGACGGUACCGGGAGAAUAAGCACCGGCUAACUACGUG